Molecule: ribosomal RNA, 429 nt
Filed under: Bacillota bacterium
Lineage: Bacteria; Bacillati; Bacillota
Description: Firmicutes bacterium partial 16S ribosomal RNA
Rfam family: Bacterial small subunit ribosomal RNA
Source: RNAcentral
UAGGGAAUCUUCCGCAAUGGACGAAAGUCUGACGGAGCGACGCCGCGUGAGCGAAGAAGGUCUUCGGAUCGUAAAGCUCUGUUGUUAGGGAAGAAGAAGUGCCGUUCGAACAGGGCGGCGCGGUGACGGUACCUAACGAGAAAGCCCCGGCUAACUACGUGCCAGCAGCCGCGGUAAUACGUAGGGGGCGAGCGUUGUCCGGAAUGACUGGGCGUAAAGGGUACGUAGGCGGCCAGGUAAGUCAGGUGUGAAAGUCUAGGGCUCAACCCUAGUGAGCACUUGAAACUGCUUGGCUUGAGUCGAGGAGAGGAAGGUGGAAUUCCUGGUGUAGCGGUGAAAUGCGUAGAUAUCAGGAGGAAUACCAGUGGCGAAGGCGACCUUCUGGCCUUGGACUGACGCUGAGGUACGAAAGCGUGGGGAGCAAACAGG